This is a long non-coding RNA of Numida meleagris (helmeted guineafowl), 537 nucleotides long. RefSeq lists it as uncharacterized. The transcript is spliced from 3 exons. NCBI's taxonomy places the organism in Eukaryota, Metazoa, Chordata, Aves, Galliformes, Numididae. The record is from RefSeq and is a predicted model, not a curated record.
GAUACAGCUGAGCUCCACUUCUAGCAAAUGGUUUUUUCCCAGAAGGCCUCACACACCUGUGUGCCUGGAACCCAGGAGGGCUGGGACUUGUGUGUUGGUGAGCUUGCUGGCAGCAGAGUGCUGUGUGCUGCUCCUGCUGGGUCUGCUGUGCUGGGACACUGAGCAGCGUGAGGUCUUCUUCUGCCUCUGCUGGCAGAGGGUGCUCCAUGACCAUCCCCCAGGGCUAUGUCCUCUCGUUUCCUACUGCUUGUUGCAGGCCUGAAGCUGAGUGCCUGAGCCAGCUGAAAAGCCUUCCUACAUGACUUCUCAGAAGCUGAAAUAUGUUGUGACCGUCUCCCAUCGCAGACUGUACCUGUCGGCAGCUCUGUUCCUGUAGCAUCGUGUCCGCAGCAACAAAGCCAGGAGAAGUGGUGUUCCCUUCAGAGGAAGAAAGUGGCCGGAUGCCCUCCAGCCACACAGCAGCAGCAGCAGCAGCACGUACUGAUGCAUUUGGAAGGUGCUGGACUGGGGGCUCGGACUCCAACCUGAAGAGUGCAC